CCCUUAGCUGUUCUGGGCGGCCCGCGCACUACAAUGGCGCUUUCAGCGAGUUCCUAUGUUGAAUUUUCCUGGGUAUUCUUGGAAGCGGCGUCUUGACUUGGGAUAGAUCCUUGUAAUUGUUGGUUUUGAACGAGGAAUUCCUUGUAAUCGCGGUUGAUCAGCUCGCGUUGAAUACGUCCCUGCCCUUUGUACACACCGCCCGUCGCUCCUACCGAUGAAUCGUCCGGUGAAGUUCACAGAGUGGCGGUUCGUGGAGUUGCUCGCGAAGUGAAAUGGACCUCACGAUUUAGAGGAAGGAGAAGUCGUAACA
This 310-nucleotide ribosomal RNA is filed under the name uncultured eukaryote. RNAcentral's name for it is "partial 18S ribosomal RNA". It matches the Rfam family "Eukaryotic small subunit ribosomal RNA", at positions 1470 to 1796 of the family's 1831-position model. The record is from RNAcentral.